AUUUAAUUAUUAGUAGUUUUCUUUGUUAGUACUGUCUGGCGAUAACCAUUAAUCUUAAAAGCUCGAACUGUUAAAAAUACGCAACCAAUUCACUUAAAGCGUAUAGAUACAGCGUCCACGGGUCUCGAACAUGAUUCGGCCCACCUAGCCUCACGCCAUUUCUAAUAUUACUCGGCCCAUUUAAGCCAAUAAUCCUCCCUCCAGUAUCCGCACAUAUUUACAGCCAAAAGCUUGAGCUGUUAGAAUACGCAACCAAUUCACUUAAAGCAUACAGAUAAAGCGCCCACGAAUCUUGAUUAUGACUUGGCCCACACAGCCUCACGCUAUUUCGAAUAUGACUCGACCCAUUUAGCCUCACGUCAUUUCGAACAUUACUCGACCCAACAUAGCGUUCCGUCACAAGGUAGGAUGCUGACCUAUUUAAGCCAACAGGUCCUUAGAAUUUGAGGCAUCUUAUAUAUUAUUCAUUCAUAAUCUAAUUGCGGUUCAUUCGGCUCGCUGAUUAAAUUGCGGAUUCGAAUAAUUUAAAAUAAAAAUUUUAAUUUAUUCAGUAUAAAGAGUUGAAUCAAAUCGUUUUAUUAACUAAGUCACCGUGCGAAACCCGAUUUUUAAAACACUAUUAUUAAUUUCUACAAUUUUUUUCUUUAAAAAAAUAGUGUCAAAUAGUAUGCAAGGGGAAGUAAAAAAAAAAAAAAAAAAAAAAAAAAAAAAAAAAAAAAAACUAUGAACAACCAACCUCUCCACUCCCUCGUGGGUCGUGAGCUGUAAACGUUUUGUGAUCUUUUUGUUGGAACAAAUACCGCACAGAAAUCUGAUUGUGAUUUAAAUCUAACAAAAUCUUAUGAUAAAAUUAAUAAAAUCAACUUACCGAUAAUCGCUAAGUCCAAAUAAAAAUUUAAUUGAUCCGGAAGCGUGCGAGGCACUGCCCUAAGGCGUAUUUCCGUCCUUACGUGCGGGAUUAACCGGAAAUAACACCCCAAGGUACGACCG
Molecule: long non-coding RNA, 990 nt
Filed under: Ananas comosus (pineapple)
Lineage: Eukaryota; Viridiplantae; Streptophyta; Magnoliopsida; Poales; Bromeliaceae
Description: long non-coding RNA (ACOM_LNC031939)
Source: RNAcentral